GUUUGAAGCAAUGAAGGCUGUGGAGACUACUGUCAACUUAGGUCCAAUAGAAACUGUUUGAUAAUCUUUUCAAGGGGGAAUUUGUUUAUGUUUUAAUAGGACACUAAUUAAGAGGAUUAAAGAAGUUAAGGUUUCUAAAGCUGUGUUGUCCUUUUAGUUAAUAAUUUACUAUGUUACUUGAUGUGUCAUUGUCUGUUGUUUGGUAGUGAGCUGUUUGAGGUUGUUCUCUAUGGGGUAUAUUGUAAAGUUUCCUCUUUUACUU
Molecule: unclassified non-coding RNA, 262 nt
Filed under: Hevea brasiliensis (rubber tree)
Lineage: Eukaryota; Viridiplantae; Streptophyta; Magnoliopsida; Malpighiales; Euphorbiaceae
Source: RNAcentral